AAAGUCACCUGGCAGGGGAGAUACCAUGAUCACAAAGGUGGUUUUCCCAGGGUGAGUCUUGUCCAUCGCACAAAGAUGCAGAGUCCUGGCAAAAGCUUCCUCUGAUUCAGAAGAGGCUUUGACUUUUGUAGCCUCAUAGGGUCAUUAUUCUAAAGCCCCCAG
This is a small nuclear RNA of Sciurus vulgaris (Eurasian red squirrel), 162 nucleotides long. Its record names the gene U1. It matches the Rfam family "U1 spliceosomal RNA". Rfam says of the family: U1 is a small nuclear RNA (snRNA) component of the spliceosome (involved in pre-mRNA splicing). The record is from Ensembl. NCBI's taxonomy places the organism in Eukaryota, Metazoa, Chordata, Mammalia, Rodentia, Sciuridae.